This is a long non-coding RNA of Pangasianodon hypophthalmus (striped catfish), 1977 nucleotides long. RefSeq lists it as uncharacterized. The transcript is spliced from 3 exons. The record is from RefSeq and is a predicted model, not a curated record. Lineage: Eukaryota; Metazoa; Chordata; Actinopteri; Siluriformes; Pangasiidae.
CUCUUCCAGGCUGUGUAAGUGUAAUCUGACAGAGGAAAGCUGUAGAGUUCUGUCCUCAGUUCUCAGCUCAAACUCCUCCAGUCUGAGAGAACUGAACCUGAGUAUCAAUAAACUGCAGAAUUCAGGAGUGAAGCUGCUCUCUGCUGGACUGAAGAAUCCACACUGUACACUGGAGAUACUGAGGAUGUGGUGCUGCAGUAUUACAGAUGAAGGUUGUGCUGCUCUGGCUUCAGCUCUGAGGUCAAACUCCUCAUCACACCUGAGAGAACUGGAUCUGAACUGUAAUAAUCCAGGAGAAUCAGGAGUGAAGCUGCUCUCUGAUCUACUGAAGGAUCCACACUGUAAACUGGAGACACUACACAUUACAAAUUAUAAAUUCACAAGGACUGGCAUAUGACAGGAGUCUCACCUCUGACCUCUUUUCCAGGAUAAAGCAGUUUUGGUGAAGCGUUAGAACUCGUCCCACAUUUCCAGCAGUUUGGGAGCUGAAUCAUUCAUAUUCAGAUGUAGAAGUUCCAUAACAAUAACUGUGACUGAUCACAUCCUUUUAUCCACUCAGCUACAAGUUACUUCAGGCUUUAAUAACAUAUUUUACAAUCCAAAGUCAAAUCCUUCAGCAUCUACACACAACACAGAGAUAUCAUCACAUCAUCACACUGAUUACACAAAUACACAUCCAUGUGUUGUAGCUGUUUAUAGCUUAUUUUUAGCUCCUUACAGUCAUGUGAAAAAUUAGGACACCCCAACAAAUAUUCAGUUCUUUAUUAAGAAAUGUCAACAUCUCAAUUUCUGAUCUUAUUUUAAUUUGUAUCUGUAGAUGAAAGUGAUGUAAUUGCAUGUAAACAACAAAAAAUCACUUUGUUUUCAUUUAUUAAACAAAAGAAAUCAACAAAAAUGAGUAUUUAAACUGAGAAAACAUUAGGACACCUGGAGGUAAUUUUAGCCAUUUUAAGUACAAAUAAAUGUGGGAGUGUCCUUACCUUUUCCAAGAAAUUGGAUUUUUUUUUUAAAUUACAUUUUACUGAUCAUUUUAAAAAGACUUUUCUUUGGUUUUAUUUGUUUAGUUAUAUUACUUGAAUCUCCCAAUAUUGUUAAAAUGAAGAUCAAAUGUCCAUAUGUUUAACUAUGUUAAAAAAAACACAGGCUUUCAUGGUAUGUCCUAAUUUUUUCACAUGAUUGUAUAUCUGUCAGGUUAAUCAGAGUGUGUUUCUGCUCAACAUGGCUUCAUUCAGUGACGCAUUUUUUUCUCCACAGAUGAUUGAUGCAAAGUUGUAAUAUUGAUUUAAUCCUUUUUUACUCAAAGAUUGUUCCUUGUUUGCUAACAUGUUUAAUGGUAAUCAUGGUAGUUUGACUGUUUAAGAUAUUUAGAUUUUUUAAACUAAAAAAUCUCUGAAACUCUUUAACUACAUGCACUGUAUGUAUUCGUGUCAUUUAAUACAGUUUUGUAGAUAUGUGGUGUACAUGUCAUUUACACUAUGUGUACAAAAUAAACAGUGACUGUGACUGAAACACAACAGUUCAGGUGUUUGAGGACUGUACUGUAAUUACACUUAGCAUGGACCACUACCAGGACUAACACGUGUUCCACCACACUGAGAAACUUCAAUGUUGUGUCACGACUCGUGAACUCUGAGCUGGACUUUCUGACUGUUCAUGAGGAAUCUUCUUGUAACCAUGGUGACAGUGACAGUCUCACUGUCAGGAGUGUAGGGAGUAGGAAUUAGCGCGAGUACAGCCUGGGGACCAUGUAUGGAAAUAAAUUUGUGCCAAAACUAAACAUCCAAAUCUAGCAUUUCACAAACACAAUCUGCUUUGCAAAGGAAAACUCAAACAAACAGAAAGUGAUUUGUAAAUACAAAGGGCAAAUAUAAAAAAAAUAUAAGCCUACAUCAUAUUUCACAAAUAAACACAAUCCAUUCUACAAAUCUUUGAACAAAUACAAAAUCCAAUGUAUACAAAUGCAGCUGAGCAACUUCC